GAAGCUAUUGGUAGAGAUGAUUACACACACCAGACAGGGUGUGUGGGACCAUUGUUAUAAGGAAAAGUCAAACUGAAGGACUAAUUUUUCCUCAUAAUAUAUGUUGCUGAAAAAGAAAGAAAGAAAAGAUCUCUAGGUCUCUGUUUUGGAACAGAUCCAAAAGUGUUUGCCAAGAGUGUUUUCUUGAACAGACAAAUGGGACAGUAUAUCACCCAAAGAAGCUGUACUCUCUGAAUGUAUUUGAAAAUGAGUCAGAAUAGCACAUUUGGAAGACAAGUUGGAUAGGGAUCACUAAGUUAUUUGCAAGACAGGAGACUUUUGCAGACCAUCAUUACAAACUACAAAGAAUGAGAGGUAGAGGGUAUUGGAACUGAAUUAUAGACUUCAAUAACUUGUGCAGAAUCAUGGCUGUAGUCUAUUUGAGUCAGCAUCUCUGUAAUGAUGGACUAUCUGGAUAUUUACCUGCUUCAUCAGCCUGUUUUCAGGUUUGCAGAUGGGACCUAGUGAUAUACAGGAGAGGUUGUAAACAUUUAAAAUGAGGAGACUACUGGAGCUAAAAUAAUUAUCUUUGGGUAGUGAGAUCUUAAGAUAUUCACAGAGGACUCCUCUAGGGAAUUCUGGUAGAAAAGAUCUAAGAGGAAAUCUUGCUGAAUUGAAUAGCAAUGAAGAAUUGCUACUAGGUGAUGAGUCUGAAGAUGCAACUGGCUGCCUGAAGCCAAAAUGGAGGACUCUGUACCUAUCUUCUGGUAGAUCAGCAUUAUACCAACAAACUGUUCUCCAAGGAGUGCGAUGAAGUAUGCUCCCCAGAGACAUCCAGGAGUUCCUAUCCAAGCCUGCAUUGCAGGGGCUACAAUCCCAAUGUACUUUGCUGAAGAUCAGGUUUGGUUGCUCAGUAAAUACAGAUUGCUCAAUAGAAAGGAAAGUAGAUUCAUAUUGUGUGCCCAGUAGACUGAGACCAACUUGACACUCUGGUAUAUCUUUAUACUGGCUCAGGGUCCUUUUCUGAUUCUUUCUUUGUUUCUUCCUAUAUGCGGUAUUGGAGAGGUAACUGAGCAAAAGCAGAUGUCUGAAUAGGUUAUAAAAGAGAUGCCCUGUUUAAAAAGAAAAACACAAACACACUUUGCGUGUUCUCUUUCUUGUCCAAAUUCUGAGAGCUUUGGGAAUUUGCAGUUAGUGAACUCUUCACACCUUAAAUGCUAAUUUUAAUAUGCAUGUCAUGUUUGAGAAAUGUCAGCAGAAAAGACUGAAUAAUACUUGUUGCCUAUUCAUCUGAAGUACAUAAUUGCUCCAGCUGACAUGUAUGAAUGCACUUUCAUUAUCGUGUCAAGAGGACACUUUGUGCUUGCAAAUGAACAAUGUUUGGGGUUGGCAAUAAAAUGGGAAGCACUUGCUUAAAUAAAGUUUAUUAUAGGUUUUUAGAAAAGUGUAAUUAUGAAGUGUUCAUACUGGAUGAGAACACUGUUUCUGAAGUGUUAACUUUAAUACGGAAAUAGAGUUAUGGUUUAAAGAGGAAGACUGCAUUUAGGCUUUACUAAACUAAACACAAUAUGAAUGUGAAAUAAUGCUAUUUUAUUUGCUUGUCCAAACAAUACUCAGUGGGUAUGUGAGCUGGUCCUGCAACCUGUCUAAGGACUGGCAACCUUCUAUGCUGAAAUCAGUCUACUCGUUCAGUCACCAGAGGUGGAAAAUGAAUGUUUAAAUGUAGAGAUCUGAUCUGAGAGUCCAAGGUGAAGUGUUCAAUGCUGCAGUUAAAUCAGCCUGGGAGCUAAUGGCAAAACCAAUAAUACUAACUUUUGAUGUGGAUAUGUGGAUAAUAGGAAAAUAUUCCCUGUUUAAAAAAAAAAAAAAAAAGAAAAAAAAUAAAUAGUGGUACUACAAGCUUCAUUCAGGAUCUGUAUUUUAUAGACAGGGAAACUGAGGAAGAAAGAAUAAGGCGAGGACUGUGGCACAUGGAUUUUCAUGCCAAACUCUGCAAACUUCUGGCAUUCACUUGUGCUUUUGGCCUUGACUUUUGGCCUCUAGCUUUCUGCAGAAGUCCUUUAUUACAGAGAAUUAAAUAGGAUUUUUUAUAUGUCUAAACAUAGGUAUCCAGCUUCCAUGGGUACUCACUUGGAAGCCACUUCCAAAACCUCUGGAAGUUCCAAGACAUCAAAGCUGGUAUUCAAAUCUAUGAGCUACUGGCUACCACCUUUGUGCCUGGCACAUUUAUUAUAUGGAACACAUGAAUUAGGUUAUGAUUUGACUCAUGUACUGCUGUUGGUUUAUAUCAAGGACUGGUGAAUUAUGGGUUGCAAUCUCUGGAGAAACAUUGGAUGAGUCUCUGUAGUCUGUUAAUAUCACCUCUGCUGUAGAGUUAAGUAGCAGAGGGAAAUGUAGGAUGUGAAGUACCAGCUGGGUGAACCAAGUAGGAGAGCUGCUGGAAGGUGUAGUCUCAGCUGGAGGUGGACAUAGCAGUCAGCAGCAGCUGGCACAACCUGGAGAUACACCCAUCUGGGGGCUGCAGACAGAGUUUAGCACGGGAAGCUGGGAAAUGUAUUCAUUCAUCACCUCCACUAGACAACCUCUGCCAGCAAGGCUGUCAUGGGGCCUCUGGCAUCAAAUGAAAGCUGAAGCCCUGAGGGAGCACAGAUGGCAGUGUUAUUUUUCAGUGUGAUGAAUUCCCUCUUGCAGGUACUUUUUUGCAUUAUGCCAUGCUAGGAAGAGUGAAUCUGAUCUAUACUGCAUUCAGGAGUUAAUAGGAAGUCGUUUAAAAUUUUGUUAUUAUUCAGUACUUCUAUCACUAUGUAAAGGUAAGCUACUGCUCUUAAAGGAAUUCUCCCCAAAUCAGAACUUCUCAGUUCCAUAUUUUCCUUUGUUCUUUAAGAGAUUUUCACAAAUUUCAGCCAUGCUGCUGUGCUUAAAAGGCUAGUGAUUGUCCCAGCAGCAAGGCGGAUUUUGCACAAAGUAAAUAAUAAUUCAAGUCCUAUGAAAGAUUCACUGUCCAUUUAUGGAGAGAGUUCAGAUGUAUUGCCCUAGAAGCUCCUGUAUUUUUGUCUGCAUUUUAAAAAUGUUGUAAUGUUCACAUUUUUUCUACUUGGUCUAGAUGGUUAAUGCCUGUUCUUUGUGUGUUCUGUUUUGUUUUUGAGGAAAUAAGAACAAUAAAAUAAAACCAUUUAAGAAGUC
Anas platyrhynchos (mallard) is the source of this 3162-nucleotide non-coding RNA. The record is from RefSeq and is a predicted model, not a curated record. NCBI's taxonomy places the organism in Eukaryota, Metazoa, Chordata, Aves, Anseriformes, Anatidae.